UUUGAAAUCUGGCCCUCGGGUCCGAGUUGUAAUUUGCAGAGGAUGCUUCGGGCGAGGUGCCUUCCGAGUUCCCUGGAACGGGACGCCAUAGAGGGUGAGAGCCCCGUCUGGUUGGACACCGAGCCCGUGUGAAGCUCCUUCGAAGAGUCGAGUAGUUUGGGAAUGCUGCUCAAAAUGGGAGGUAUAUGUCUUCUAAAGCUAAAUAUUGGCCAGAGACCGAUAGCGCACAAGUAGAGUGAUCGAAAGAUGAAAAGCACUUUGAAAAGAGGGUUAAAAAGUACGUGAAAUUGUUGAAAGGGAAGCGCCCAUGACCAGACUUGGGCCCGGUGAAUCACCCGGCGUUCUCGCCGGUGCACUUUGCCGGGCACAGGCCAGCAUCAGUUUGGCGCGGGGGACAAAGGCUUCGGGAAUGUGGCUCCCUCGGGAGUGUUAUAGCCCGCUGCGCAAUACCCUGCGCCGGACUGAGGUACGCGCAUCGCAAGGAUGCUGGCGUAAUGGUCAUCAGCGACCCGUCUUGAAACACGGACCAAGGAGUCGUCUUCGUAUGCGAGUGUUCGGGUGUCAAACCCCUACGCGGAAUGAAAGUGAACGCAGGUGAGAGCUUCGGCGCAUCAUCGACCGAUCCUGAUGUUCUCGGAUGGAUUUGAGUAAGAGCAUACGGGGCCGGACCCGAAAGAAGGUGAACUAUGCCUGUGUAGGGUGAAGCCAGAGGAAACUCUGGUGGAAGCUCGCAGCGGUUCUGACGUGCGAAUCGAUCGUCAAACAUGGGCAUGGGGGCGAAAGACUAAUCGAACCUUCUAGUAGCUGGUUUC
RNAcentral lists this ribosomal RNA (812 nucleotides) under Cordyceps blackwelliae. RNAcentral describes it as "LSU rRNA". It matches the Rfam family "Eukaryotic large subunit ribosomal RNA", at positions 114 to 958 of the family's 3401-position model. Lineage: Eukaryota; Fungi; Ascomycota; Sordariomycetes; Hypocreales; Cordycipitaceae. The record is from RNAcentral.